RNAcentral lists this long non-coding RNA (1647 nucleotides) under Eucalyptus grandis. RNAcentral describes it as "long non-coding RNA (EGRA_LNC000307)". The record is from RNAcentral. Lineage: Eukaryota; Viridiplantae; Streptophyta; Magnoliopsida; Myrtales; Myrtaceae.
UUCCUUCUUCACUCUCCCGAUCUCACCCUCACUACUGCCCUCUCCCUCUUUCUCAUGGCCACGCGCCUCUUGCCCGUUUGCUCGCCUACAUGUUGCUCAGUUACCUAGGCCGUUCCUUGAAGCGUUGUAAGUAGAACUUGCUAAUAUUUGGUUAGGGUGUUGUGUUACGCUAAUCCAAGCGUAUGAUGAGUCCUUGAUUGAAAUGUUGUAACUAUAUUCUUGCUUGAGGUUUGGUUGUGGUUGCUUGGAUCAGUUUAGACCUUGUUCCUUGAUUGAAUUCAAUUUUUGUUAGAUGAGCUUUGGCUCGUGCUUUGCUUUGAGUUGCUUUGGAAGAAGCCCGGUUCAUGUGUUUAUUGGAUAUGCUUUGGUUUUUUCCUUAAUACAAAUCUAUUUGAAAAGUGUUUUUAUGAAAGCUUGGUAUUUCCUUACAAAACUAUUUCUAACCGUUUUUACAAAUGCAUGUUCUAGUUCACGCGCCGAGCUCCGAAAAGAGGUUUCGUUGGCCUUGAACGUAAGUGGGAUCACGUCAGAUUAGUCCUUUCAUGGUCUCAGUGCGAUAUCGAGGUAUACCAUUCCCGAGCCAAAUUAGGUACUAGAUCAAUGCUCAAAAGUGUCGGAUCAAGCUGUGAUCCUUAAUUCACACCCGGCAUGUACAACGUCUCGAUUUCGAUAAGCCAUUUUCACACACUUAUGCAUGGCACGCCUUCGAGCCCUUGAACUAAAAGUGAAUAUAAGAACUAGAUUGUGAUGCUUGAUGCAUGGACACACGAUAGACUAAUUUAUGCCAUCGACCAAUAGAUUCGGCGACAAUGCCCCCUCGCCAAUGGGAUGCCUCGUUAAUAAGAACAAGAUGCCUCCCACGCCAACGGAAUGCCUCAUCAAAAGGACGAGAUGUUGUAAUAAUUGUAGCCGUCACCCUUCGAUUAGGGGACGUUGCCCAAUUAAGUUCGGAUGCCCAAUGAAUUCCGAAAGAAUUGAUGGAUUUCAACUAUUAAUAAAUGAAUCUUAGGUGCAUGAUUUUCUCAUAUUACAGAAUGGAACUUGGUUAUGCUUGCAUAAUGUUGAGUGAGGCGUAAAUUCCUCAUACUAUGAAAUGGAUCUUAUUUAUACUUGUAUAAUAUUGAGUGAGGCGUGAGUUCUUCAUGUUGUGGAUGGAUAUUGGUUUAUGCUUGCAUACUGUUGAUUGAAGAUUUCUCAUGUUUCAUCCAAGACAAAACUUUUGUUUUGCUAUUGAUCUGUCAUCGACUAAUGUUUUGGAUGAAUUAAAUGCUUGUUGAUAGGCAAGACAUCCUCCUACCCGGAAAUUAGUGGGUUUUACUUGCUGAGUUUAUGAUUCACCCCGUUGUUUUUUAGAAUUGUAGGCAUUGAGGUCUCCUACUAGUGCUGGAGUUGCAGUCUUGCUAGAGGAGCUAAGGUUUACUCGGUCUUUGGAGCAUAGAAAAUGUAGUGAUUGUAAAUAUAAUGGCCCGUGACAAAUGGGCCUAUAAAUAUAACUGAUAUAUUUGGGAGUUGUUUGUAACGCUUGCACAUGUGCUUAAUGAAAAAAUAAAAAGAACGGGAUGGCAACGAGCCUAGGACGUUGUGAAAAUAACCCCCACUAAUCACGACCCUGGGAAUGGAGUCGGGGUCGUUACACUUGUGUUGGUC